GAAAUGCGAUAAGUAGGGUGAAUUGCAGAAUUCAGUGAAUCAUCGAAUCUUUGAACGCACAUUGCGCCACUUGGUAUUCCAUGGGGCAUGCCUGUUCGAGCGUCAUUUGUACCCUCAAGCUCUGCUUGGUGUUGGGUGUUUGUCCCCGUCUCCGCGCGUGGACUCGCCCCAAAGUGAUUGGCAGCCGGCGUACUGGUCCCGGAGCGCAGCACAUGUCGCGCAAACGAGUGCCUUGGUACGGCGGCGUCCAUAAGCCCCUCUCUCACGCUCUUGACCUCGGAUCAGGUAGGGAUACCCGCUGAACUUAAGC
Molecule: unclassified non-coding RNA, 310 nt
Filed under: plant metagenome
Description: partial contains 5.8S ribosomal RNA, internal transcribed spacer 2, and large subunit ribosomal RNA
Rfam family: 5.8S ribosomal RNA (bases 1-105)
Source: RNAcentral